GUCUGUGGAAUAAGAAGAGAAGACCAAAACCCUAUCUCUAGAGACAUCAACAUUUCAGGGCAAUAGGGAUCCACCAAGACAUUUUAAGCAGAGGGCUGAUAUGAUUAAAUUUACAUCUUGGACUGAUCACCCUGGCAACAGAGAGAGGCUGUUGCAUUAAUGCAAGUGUCGUUUUGGAUCCUUGGCACUGAAUGCACAGCCCUAUAUCUAGUAGGUGCUCAGUAAACACUGAAGAGGAGGAGGAGGGUGCAGUAUCCAGAACUGCUUUCUUGUUUUCAGAGGUUGUUAAUCAUCAGGUCACAGAAGAAAUUUGCAAUGUGAAUUUCAUCAUGCAAAAUAGUUAAUGCCUUGCCAAGGCAUUCAUCCCAGCAGUGUAAAUGAGUAGGGAGGAGAGUCCGGGAAGACUGACUCUGGUUACCUCACCUGGGGACAUGCAGCCUUGAAAACACUGACUCUUGCGCUCCUGGGGGGCCCUGAUUUGCAUCCAUUUACAGCAGGAAGAGAAGGGAAUUCAGCAUCAGGGUGAACUUGGAGGAAAGCUGUGGCUAAGGUUCAGAGCACUAGCUCCACCAAAAUCGGGAACCAAGCCUGUCUUCUUCACCCUGACACCUGAAGCACUUCCGUGCUCAAGAAAAUCCUGGUUGAGAAAUAAACAAAUGAAUCAACCUUUUCAGGCAAAGAGGAAA
Callorhinus ursinus (northern fur seal) is the source of this 686-nucleotide long non-coding RNA. RefSeq lists it as uncharacterized. The record is from RefSeq and is a predicted model, not a curated record. NCBI's taxonomy places the organism in Eukaryota, Metazoa, Chordata, Mammalia, Carnivora, Otariidae.